UACGUAGGGAGCAAGCGUUGUUCGGAUUUACUGGGCGUAAAGCGUGCGCAGGCGGUUGUGCAAGACAGAUGUGAAAUCCCCGGGCUUAACCUGGGAACUGCAUUUGUGACUGUACGGCUAGAGUGCGGCAGAGGGGGAUGGAAUUCCGCGUGUAGCAGUGAAAUGCGUAGAUAUGCGGAGGAACACCGAUGGCGAAGGCAAUCCCCUGGGCCUGUACUGACGCUCAUGCACGAAAGCGUGGGGAGCAAACAGG
Molecule: ribosomal RNA, 253 nt
Filed under: uncultured bacterium
Lineage: Bacteria
Description: partial 16S ribosomal RNA
Rfam family: Bacterial small subunit ribosomal RNA
Source: RNAcentral